This 1040-nucleotide ribosomal RNA is filed under the name uncultured bacterium. RNAcentral describes it as "partial 16S ribosomal RNA". It matches the Rfam family "Bacterial small subunit ribosomal RNA", at positions 34 to 1037 of the family's 1533-position model. The record is from RNAcentral.
GGGAAUUGGCGGGUGGAAGGCAUGCAAGUCGAACGGGAAGGGGAUUCAAGCAAUUGUGUCCCCUGAGAGUGGCGAACGGGUGAGUAACACGUGGGUAACAUACCUCCGGGUGGGGGAUAACUCAGGGAAACCUGAGCUAAUACCGCAUACGGUCAGACUGCUCAUGGCAGACUGAUCAAAGGUGGGGAUCCUUCGGGACCUGCCGCCUGGAGAUUGGCCCGCGGCCCAUUAGCUUGUUGGCGGGGUAACGGCCCACCAAGGCGACGAUGGGUAGCCGGCCUGAGAGGGUGUCCGGCCACACUGGGAUUGAGAUACGGCCCAGACUCCUUCGGGAGGCAGCAGUCGAGAAUCUUCCCCAAUGGACGAAAGUCUGAGGGAGCGACGCCGCGUGAGGGAUGAAGGCCCUUUGGGUUGUAAACCUCUGUUAGGGGGAAAGAACAGCAGUGGAAGCAACAUGUCCAUUGCCUGACGUUACCCCCAGAGAAAGCUCCGGCCAACUCCGUGCCAGCAGCCGCGGUAAUACGGGGGGAGCAAGCGUUGUCCGGAAUCAUUGGGCGUAAAGGGCGUGUAGGCGGUUUGGCAAGUCGAAUGUGAAAUCCCACGGCUCAACCGUGGAACUGCGUUCGAAACUGCCUGACUUGAGUGCGGGAGAGGUGUGCGGAAUUCCUGGUGUAGCGGUGGAAUGCGUAGAUAUCAGGAAGAACACCGGUGGCGAAGGCGGCACACUGGCCCAGCACUGACGCUGAGGCGCGAAAGCGUGGGGAGCGAACGGGAUUAGAUACCCCGGUAGUCCACGCUGUAAACUUUGGGCACUAGGUAUUGGAGGUCUCAACCCCUUCAGUGCCGUAGCUAACGCGUUAAGUGCCCCGCCUGGGGAGUACGGUCGCAAGGCUGAAACUCAAAGGAAUUGACAGGGGCCCGCACAAGCGGUGGAGCAUGUGGUUUAAUUCGAUGCAACGCGAAGAACCUUACCGGGGUUUGACAUGGGAGCCUUGCCCUCGGGUGAGGUCAGCUCUAUGAAAGUAGGCGCGUCCACACAG